Molecule: long non-coding RNA, 829 nt
Filed under: Felis catus (domestic cat)
Lineage: Eukaryota; Metazoa; Chordata; Mammalia; Carnivora; Felidae
Description: lncRNA (ENSFCAG00000047151.1)
Source: RNAcentral
ACGGGCGCCGAGAGGGCCACGCCGGAGCCCCAGUGUCAGCCCCAGUCCGGCCCCUGCUCCAGGAGUGACCCAGGAAGAGGCCCUCGGCAACAAGGGCACAGAGCAGCUACUGCGGCCCUCCCAAUGGCGCAUGGACUUCCGCGAGAGCCCGCCCGGCACCCGUACUCUGUCCGUCAGGAAAAUAAGCACCACCCCCGCCACGCUUCCUAGGAGGGCAGCACAAACGGUCCGUGGAGGAUUAGUGCCUGCGCUCAGAGCCCCCAGAGGAGACAGCCGCAUUACGCCUCCCACCACCCCUUCCCUCCUUCUUUGUUUCCGGGUUGGAGUUACGAAAUUGAGUUUCCCAGGUCAAAGAUUUGGAGAGAGAGAGAAGCUGCUUUUGUCAUGGAAUCAAUUGUUUGCCAAAGCUCUUCGGUGAUGCUUCAGGUGCUCCCAUUUUUAUUGAGCGCACGCACCACUGCGGACCUAGGAUCUCAGACUGCCUUGCCCAGGCUCGUGUGAUCAGAGGAAGGGGAGUCACCAGAGGACCCCAGGGAGGCUAUGAACAGGACCAGGGCCAAUCGGGUUUGGGAGAGGCAGGGACUGGAGGGGAGAAAAGAAACAGAGCACAUUACAGAAAUGAAACAUUCUGGAAGAAGGAAGCAUCCUAGAUCAAAGGAGAAGGGCUACUGCAUGGUAGCAAAAUCUCCAUUUUUUUGGGCAGUUCGGGAAGUUCAGUGCAUCCUUAAUGAGGAUUCAUUUCCUGCCACCAAGUGAACUGCACAGCUUCUUUAUGUCUUUUCUGUGCAAUUGGAAUAAAGUUGUAUUACAUUUCCUUGGGAGUAAUAUU